GCUAGUGUGGCAGAGUGUAUGUAUCAAAUUUAAGUUUUGAGGAGAUUUCUAGCU
This 54-nucleotide transfer RNA is filed under the name Plagiorhynchus transversus. RNAcentral describes it as "tRNA-Leu". The record is from RNAcentral. Lineage: Eukaryota; Metazoa; Acanthocephala; Palaeacanthocephala; Polymorphida; Plagiorhynchidae.